UAGGGAAUAUUGGACAAUGGGUGAGAGCCUGAUCCAGCCAUGCCGCGUGCAGGAAGAAGGCGUUAUGCGUUGUAAACUGCUUUUUGCCAGGGGAUAAAAUGAGCGUGCGCGCUUAAUUGAAGGUACCUGGUGAAUAAGCCACGGCUAACUACGUGCCAGCAGCCGCGGUAAUACGUAGGUGGCAAGCGUUGUCCGGAUUUAUUGGGUUUAAAGGGUGCGUAGGUGGCCCUGUAAGUCAGUGGUGAAAUAUCUCAGCUUAACUGAGAGGGUGCCAUUGAUACUGCAGGGCUUGAGUACAGAUGAGGUAGGCGGAAUUGACGGUGUAGCGGUGAAAUGCAUAGAUAUCGUCAAGAACACCGAUAGCGAAGGCAGCUUACCAAGCUGUAACUGACACUGAGGCACGAAAGUGUGGGGAUCAAACAGGAUUAGAUACCCACGUAGUCCCUGAGCGGGCUGGCAAGGCGCAU
This 467-nucleotide ribosomal RNA is filed under the name uncultured bacterium. RNAcentral's name for it is "bacterial SSU rRNA". It matches the Rfam family "Bacterial small subunit ribosomal RNA", at positions 355 to 825 of the family's 1533-position model. The record is from RNAcentral.